CCUACGGGUGGCUGCAGUGGGGAAUAUUGGACAAUGGGCGCAAGCCUGACCCAGCAACGCCGCGUGAAGGAAGAAGGCUCUCGGGUUGUAAACUUCUUUUAUCAGGGACGAAGCAAGUGACGGUACCUGAUGUAUAAGCCACGGCUAACUACGUGCCAGCAGCCGCGGUAAUACGUAGGUGGCAAGCGUUAUCCGGAUUUACUGGGUGCAAAGGGCGUGUAGGCGGGAAAGCAAGUCAGAUGUGAAAACCAUGGGCUCAACCUGUGGCCUGCAUUUGAAACUGUUUUGCUUGAGUGCUGGAGAGGCAGACGGAAUUCCUAGUGUAGCGGUGAAAUGCGUAGAUAUUAGGAGGAACACCAGUGGCGAAGGCGGUCUGCUGGACAGCAACUGACGCUGAGGCGCGAAAGCGUGGGGAGCAAACAGGAUUAGAUACCCGGGUAGUC
This 443-nucleotide ribosomal RNA is filed under the name uncultured bacterium. Its description in RNAcentral is "partial 16S ribosomal RNA". It matches the Rfam family "Bacterial small subunit ribosomal RNA", at positions 338 to 795 of the family's 1533-position model. The record is from RNAcentral.